GAUGAACGCUGGCGGCGUGCCUAAUACAUGCAAGUCGAACGCACGCUCGAGUAGCUUGAAUCACUUAUCUUAUCAUCGGUCAAGAUAGUAGCACGUGGAUAACCGGCCUAUAAGACUUGGGUAACUUGCGCUAACGUGAGCGAAUACCUGUUGAUAUUUUUACUCAUAUCGCUCAAAAGCUAAAACCGCAUUUUGUAGCGUUGAUAGAUGGAUCCGCGGUGCAUUAGUUAGUUGGUCAGGUAAGGGCUCACCAAGGCCAUGAUGCAUAGCCGACCUGAGAGGGUAAUCGGCCACACUGGGACUGAGACACGGCCCAGACUCCUACGGGAGGCAGCAGUAGGGAAUCUUCCACAAUGGGCGAAAGUCUGAUGGAGCAACGCCGCGUGAGUGAUGAAGGUCUUCGGAUCGUAAAACUCUGUUGUUGGGGAAGAAUAUAUCUGUUAGUAACUGUGCAGGUAGUGACGGUAUCUAAUCAGAAAGCCACGGCUAACUACGUG
Molecule: ribosomal RNA, 497 nt
Filed under: uncultured bacterium
Lineage: Bacteria
Description: partial 16S ribosomal RNA
Rfam family: Bacterial small subunit ribosomal RNA
Source: RNAcentral